This 2245-nucleotide long non-coding RNA is filed under the name Varroa destructor (honeybee mite). RNAcentral describes it as "uncharacterized LOC111251109". Lineage: Eukaryota; Metazoa; Arthropoda; Arachnida; Mesostigmata; Varroidae. The record is from RNAcentral.
AGUCACUGCGUGGCUCGUCCGUACGGGUCCUGUAGGCCAUAGACCAACAGAUCUCAUAGCCGCUUAUUCGUCUGCUUUACGAAGUCAUUGUGUCUGCUGAUAUUUAGAUCGAGUGUACUUUGUACAACAGGAGUGGUCAUUGUAGCGGAGAAAACGACGAGUAAGGCUCCGUAGAAAACAUUGAGUCGACAGCAACGAGCGAUUAGGUGCAAGGAGCCUACUUUCGCUAUUCAAAAUGCGAAAUUGUCUUAAAUGCUGACGUCCGUCAUUAUGUUGGUUCAAGCACGGACGAGGAUAGCGCCCUUGGCAGAUUAGAGCGGCAGCCAUUUGAAUAUUGCUUUUAAUUUUAACUGGGGGGGCGUUAGUGGGUCUAAGGAGUAAACUUGUUCCGAUAUUCACGAGAAAACUGAGACGUUCUCCAUUUGACAAUUAUAUAUAUAUAUAUAUAUAUAGCAGUAAAGACUUCAUUUACGUACGACUGUCCAUCACCGACAGUUGAAAGCACGUAAAGUGAUGUCGAAUUGAAUUCAGGCACGUCUUUCCUGGAAGCUCAGUCCGAACACCCCGUCGGAUUUUGGCCAGUACCUUCGGAAACCUCAAAAACGACGUUUGUGCUUCGAUGUUUUAUUGAUGUGGUAGCCAUUGAACAGUUCGCGGCACACAGCAGUUGCGGACGUACGCCUUACGGGGCCGAUAUAUUCCCGUGCAAUUCCGAUGUUCUGACAUACCCGUGCCAUCCACAGGCGUGCAUCAACUACAAGAAAUAUAAGCUGAUUCAUUAAGCAUAAUUUAUAAAAAUCAACCUGCACAACAUCUAUACUUCGAAUGAGUAAUAUGCACCCUUCAACAGAUAAGGUAUCUAAGCUGGCGUGUUUUAUAGUCAAACGAGUGACGUGCAAACAGGAGGUGCUUCCACCUCGUUGGAGGCUCUCCGAUGGUACCAUUGCUGGCCUAAGGCAACAAAGGGAAAAGAAAGCAUCAUAUCUCGUUUGUUCGCCAACUGCGUGUGAAUUAACUUAUGCAUUUUUAACUACUGCCAAUUUGAACUCCAUGAAUUCUUCCAUGGCAGUUGAAGUACGUCGGACAUGGUACGAAAGUCUACUGUCUUCAGAUGAGCGUCUCUCUAUCUUUGAACUUGAUUGCUGACUAACUGACUGAUUUCUAAAUUAAACUGCUCCUUACGUUAGCGGCCAUAACCACACUGGUCGAUCUAUGGUCCUCACUCCCGUAGGAUAAGUUCGAUGUGGACGGUGUACUUGAGUUGGCGGACGUCGUGGACAGUGGACCGACUAAGUGUGAAAUCCGUUUUCGUGUAGCGGUUGAUUUUGGCAGCACUACGAUGUUAUGCUAUCGUUAAAGGAUCAGGGCUAUUAAGAUCGCAACGCCUAUUAUUGAUUGAGAAAAACGCGUGCGAUCUGGCCACUUCGGUCAAGCUUUCUCCUAACGAGAGAAAAAGUCAUGGUUAGAAAAUGAUUCGCCGAACGUAAACGUAUCCUUCUGGUCAGUAUUGGAAAUUAUCCGGAUGUUCUUUUCAAAACGUACACUUGAGCUUACCCGCAAUAAAUGCGGUAAAACAUAUGGAAGAUACGCUAUUCAAACUACCUAAAAAUACCAUUCGGCAAAUCUCUAUUUACCGAUCGGUUAUUCAUAGUAUCCUUGCGGCAGCCGGCUCAGUAUCGCCUGACGACGAUACGGGACGUAAAAUUCUAAACACAGAGGGUGUGCUAGUACAAGUAAGAAUAGUACUUACUGCGCAGUGAGUGCCAGUUUAUUGGCCGGACACUUAAUCAUGUGCGAUGCUGAAGUAGAGCUUGCCAUUGUAGGAGAACUAACGGUGGUGCGAGUCAACUUGGCCGGGUAACUACGGGCGCCCUAAACCUCAAUCAGAACACACACGUAAGGGCUAAAGGUCGUCUGUGUGGCAAUGACGUGCUUAGUUCCCAGUGAUCGAAUAGCUUUUGAUCCCAGGUUCAUAAAUAUGCUCAUAGGUGCAAGCAAAGCAGUAUUUACAUCAAAGCCGAACGAUCAACAUACGUGAUCUCCGUAACAGCAGAGUCCGCCAAGGCUAAACGUUGAACCCUAAAUGAAGUUGGCUUUCGGCCAUUUCGGGGUAUCUAAAUACCUAUCUCACUUAGAACCAAACUGGCGAAAAAGCCUCCAGCACAGUUGGGCACCAUCCGAUCAACGUCCAGCAUCCAGCAAACGUUUCCAUUCAUACUCAGCCAAAAUAAGAUGAAAUAAACUU